RNAcentral lists this ribosomal RNA (253 nucleotides) under uncultured bacterium. RNAcentral's name for it is "partial 16S ribosomal RNA". It matches the Rfam family "Bacterial small subunit ribosomal RNA", at positions 524 to 776 of the family's 1533-position model. The record is from RNAcentral.
UACGAGGGGAGCAAGCGUUGUUCGGAAUCAUUGGGCGUAAAGGGCGCGUAGGCGGCAGUACAAGUCUGGGGUGAAAGCCCUCGGCUUAACCGAGGAAUUGCCUUGGAAACUGUACAGCUUGAGUAUUGGAGAGGAAAGCGGAAUUCCCAGUGUAGCGGUGAAAUGCGUAGAUAUUGGGAGGAACACCGAUGGCGAAGGCAGGUCUCUGGGCAUUAACUGACGCUGAGGAGCGAAAGCAUGGGGAGCGAACAGG